CAAGCAUCCUACACAUUAUACAGCCACUUUCAAGGUUCUAAACCAAACACUACCAACCAACCUUCAACAUGUCUCCCUGCUCCUGCAACUGCUGCUCCGGCAACUGCAACUCCUGCUCUUGCAGCUCCUGCACCGUGAGUGUUUCUGAGUC
This 151-nucleotide small RNA is filed under the name Aspergillus versicolor CBS 583.65. RNAcentral's name for it is "A. fumigatus sRNA Afu_254". It matches the Rfam family "A. fumigatus sRNA Afu_254". Lineage: Eukaryota; Fungi; Ascomycota; Eurotiomycetes; Eurotiales; Aspergillaceae. The record is from Rfam by way of RNAcentral.